Molecule: ribosomal RNA, 460 nt
Filed under: uncultured bacterium
Lineage: Bacteria
Description: partial 16S ribosomal RNA
Rfam family: Bacterial small subunit ribosomal RNA
Source: RNAcentral
CCUACGGGCGUCAGCAGUGAGGAAUAUUGGUCAAUGGACGAGAGUCUGAACCAGCCAAGUAGCGUGAAGGAUGACUGCCCUAUGGGUUGUAAACUUCUUUUAUAAAGGAAUAAAACGAGGCACGUGUGCCUUUUUGCAUGUACUUUAUGAAUAAGGAUCGGCUAACUCCGUGCCAGCAGCCGCGGUAAUACGGAGGAUCCGAGCGUUAUCCGGAUUUAUUGGGUUUAAAGGGAGCGUAGAUGGGGUGUUAAGUCAGUUGUGAAAGUUUGCGGCUCAACCGUAAAAUUGCAAUUGAUACUGGCAGUCGUGAGUACAGUUGAGGUAAGCGGAAUUCGUGGUGUAGCGGUGAAAUGCUGAGAGAUCACGAAGAACCCCGAUUGCGAAGGCAGCUUACUAAACUGUGACUGACAUUGAUGCUCGAAAGUGUGGGUAUCAAACAGGAUUAGAUACCCUUGUAGUC